GUGCCACCUAGGAACCUGGGUCUUUCCUAACUCCUAAUUGCCUCUCUCCUACUUCUUAGCAUCUUCAUGCAGAGCAUAGUGAUGGUUCUGUGUAGUUAAAAGGAAAAGAGAAAAAGAUGGAGGAGGGGAGAAAGAGAGAAGGAGAAGAAUUGCGGGAUUUGAGAAAGCUGGCUGUGGCUUGCCCCAAUUAUUUUACGGAUGACAAAGCAGACUCAGAAAAGUCAGGUAACUUGGCUAAAAACCUGCCUAGUUACUGGCAGAUUGAGAACUACAAUCUGGGUGAGUAAAGACUUUUUGAAACACGAGCAUUGUGUAAAACUAGAAUUGUUUCUCAAGAGAAAGUUCAGAAUUGUUCUCUCUGAGGACUUCUAAGGACAUCAAAGGAAACCACCUGAAGGUUCACAAUAGAUAUCUUCUGAGGACCAUGGCUAAAUUUAACCGGGACAUUUCCUGACUACCCUGACGUUGAAGAAGGAGGGUCAGCUAUUAUUUUUUCUGACAAGACCAUACAACAGGUUAUUGAGGAUAUCAUAGCAAACCAAGAGGAAGAAGAAAAAAACAAAAAGAAGAAGAAGAAAAAGGAAAAACAACCCAAGAAAGCCAAAAAACAAAAGAAAGGAACAAAGGAGAAAAAUAAGGAAGAAGACGAAAAAUGGAAAAUGUCACCAAGUCUUUUUCUUCCUGCAAUGAAGGAAGGAUGUAACGCAUACAAAGAAAUCUGGAUGAAAAAAGAUGA
This 736-nucleotide long non-coding RNA is filed under the name Homo sapiens (human). Its description in RNAcentral is "non-protein coding lnc-ASB18-1:2". Lineage: Eukaryota; Metazoa; Chordata; Mammalia; Primates; Hominidae. The record is from RNAcentral.